UAGCAUAUCAAUAAGCGGAGGAAAAGAAACCAACAGGGAUUGCCCCAGUAACGGCGAGUGAAGCGGCAACAGCUCAAAUUUGAAAUCUGGCUCUCAGGGCCCGAGUUGUAAUUUGUAGAGGAUGCUUUUGGCGAGGUGCCUUCCGAGUUCCCUGGAACGGGACGCCACAGAGGGUGAGAGCCCCGUAUGGUCGGACACCGAGCCUCUGUAAAGCUCCUUCGACGAGUCGAGUAGUUUGGGAAUGCUGCUCAAAAUGGGAGGUAUAUGUCUUCUAAAGCUAAAUAUUGGCCAGAGACCGAUAGCGCACAAGUAGAGUGAUCGAAAGAUGAAAAGCACUUUGAAAAGAGGGUUAAAAAGUACGUGAAAUUGUUGAAAGGGAAGCGCCUAUGACCAGACUUGCGCCCGGUGAAUCACCCAGCGUUCUCGCUGGUGCACUUUGCCGGGCACAGGCCAGCAUCAGUUCAGCGCGGGGGAGAAAGGCUUCGGGAAUGUGGCUCCCUCGGGAGUGUUAUAGCCCGCUGCGUAAUGCCCUGCGCCGGACUGAGGUACGCGCAUUGCAAGGAUGCUGGCGUAAUGGUCAUCAGCGACCCGUCUUGAAACACGGACCAAGGAGUCGUCUUCGUAUGCGAGUGUUCGGGUGUCAAACCCCUACGCGUAAUGAAAGUGAACGUAGGUGAGAGCUUCGGCGCAUCACCGACCGAUCCUGAUGUUCUCGGAUGGAUUUGAGUAAGAGCAUACGGGGCCGGACCCGAAAGAAGGUGAACUAUGCCUGUAUAGGGUGAAGCCAGAGGAAACUCUGGUGGAGGCUCGCAGCGGUUCUGACGUGCGAAUCGAUCGUCAAAUAUGGGCAUGGGGGCGAAAGACUAAUCGAACCUUCUAGUAGCUGGUUUCCGCC
This 895-nucleotide ribosomal RNA is filed under the name Beauveria sp. RNAcentral describes it as "partial large subunit ribosomal RNA". It matches the Rfam family "Eukaryotic large subunit ribosomal RNA", at positions 36 to 962 of the family's 3401-position model. Lineage: Eukaryota; Fungi; Ascomycota; Sordariomycetes; Hypocreales; Cordycipitaceae. The record is from RNAcentral.